Molecule: ribosomal RNA, 411 nt
Filed under: uncultured bacterium
Lineage: Bacteria
Description: bacterial SSU rRNA
Rfam family: Bacterial small subunit ribosomal RNA
Source: RNAcentral
GACGAACGCUGGCGGCGUGCUUAACACAUGCAAGUCGAACGAGAGGAGAAGGAAGCUUGCUUCUUUCAAAUCUAGUGGCAAACGGGUGAGUAACACGUAAACAACCUGCCUUCAGGAUGGGGACAACAGACGGAAACGACUGCUAAUACCGAAUACGUUCCUUAGGUCGCAUGACUUUAGGAAGAAAGGGUGGCCUCUACUUGUAAGCUAUCGCCUGAAGAGGGGUUUGCGUCUGAUUAGGUAGUUGGUGAGGUAACGGCCCACCAAGUCGACGAUCAGUAGCCGGUCUGAGAGGAUGAACGGCCACACUGGAACUGAGACACGGUCCAGACUCCUACGGAGGCAGCAGUGGGGAAUCUUCCGCAAUGGGCGAAAGUCUGACGGAGCAACGCCGCGUGAACGAUGACGGCC